CAGUCGCCGCGGUAAUACAGAGGGUGCAAGCGUUGUUCGGAAUUAUUGGGCGUAAAGCGCGUGUAGGCGGCGUGACAAGUCGGGCGUGAAAGCCCUCAGCUCAACUGAGGAAGUGCGCCCGAAACUGUCGUGCUUGAGUGCCGGAGAGGGUGGCGGAAUUCCCCAAGUAGAGGUGAAAUUCGUAGAUAUGGGGAGGAACACCGGUGGCGAAGGCGGCCAUCUGGGACAACACUGACGCUGAGGCACGAAAGCGUGGGGAGCAAACAGGAUUAGAUACCCCGGUAGUCCUGUCUCUUAUACA
Molecule: ribosomal RNA, 301 nt
Filed under: uncultured bacterium
Lineage: Bacteria
Description: partial 16S ribosomal RNA
Rfam family: Bacterial small subunit ribosomal RNA
Source: RNAcentral